AAGGGUUCCUGUCCAACGUUAAUCGGGGCAGGGUGA
RNAcentral lists this ribosomal RNA (36 nucleotides) under Escherichia coli. RNAcentral's name for it is "23S ribosomal RNA from Escherichia coli (PDB 3J45, chain 2)". The record is from RNAcentral. Lineage: Bacteria; Pseudomonadati; Pseudomonadota; Gammaproteobacteria; Enterobacterales; Enterobacteriaceae.